GACGAACGCUGGCGGCGUGCCUAAUACAUGCAAGUCGAGCGGACCAAAGGGAGCUUGCUCCUGGAGGUUAGCGGCGAACGGGUGAGUAACACGUGGGCAACCUGCCUGUAAGACUGGGAUAACAUCGAGAAAUCGGUGCUAAUACCGGAUAAUAAAAAGAACUGCAUGGUUCUUUUUUGAAAGAUGGUUUCGGCUAUCACUUACAGAUGGGCCCGCGGCGCAUUAGCUAGUUGGUGAGGUAACGGCUCACCAAGGCGACGAUGCGUAGCCGACCUGAGAGGGUGAUCGGCCACACUGGGACUGAGACACGGCCCAGACUCCUACGGGAGGCAGCAGUAGGGAAUCUUCCGCAAUGGACGAAAGUCUGACGGAGCAACGCCGCGUGAGUGAUGAAGGUUUUCGGAUCGUAAAACUCUGUUGUUAGGAAGAACAAGUGCCGUUCGAAAGGGCGGCACCUUGACGGUACCUAACGAGAAAGCCACGGCUAACUACGUGCCAGCAGCCGACGG
RNAcentral lists this ribosomal RNA (509 nucleotides) under uncultured bacterium. RNAcentral describes it as "bacterial SSU rRNA". It matches the Rfam family "Bacterial small subunit ribosomal RNA", at positions 28 to 520 of the family's 1533-position model. The record is from RNAcentral.